Long non-coding RNA from Oncorhynchus kisutch (coho salmon), 553 nucleotides. RefSeq lists it as uncharacterized. The record is from RefSeq and is a predicted model, not a curated record. NCBI's taxonomy places the organism in Eukaryota, Metazoa, Chordata, Actinopteri, Salmoniformes, Salmonidae. The transcript has 4 exons.
CGAGUGCCUGCCCUGGAGGUAGCGUAGCUAGCUAAUGUCGUGUGUAAGUUGGACUGCUAAUUAUUUUCCGAGCGGAACUGUCUGGGCAUCAUUUAUGAAUACUAGAAACAGGUGAACAGUUUUGGAUCACUGUACCAGGUCUGUGUUACACGUGGGUUGCCUUUGACAAUAAGGCACAGGACUACAGUCGUAUAGUUUUCAACCUAGAAGAAGACCAAGAUACGAGAGAAGGCAAGAAGGAGUCUACCGGGAUGGGGGAGAGGAAUGUCCAGUUGUCCAUAAAAGCAUGGUUUGUCAUCUGAUUUCUUUGAGCCUGGUGGAGAUGGAUGCAACCAUACUACAAGGCUGGACAUUUCGCUGCAUCCAAGUUGAGGCUUGCUACCAGCAGGAACAUAGAGCACUCUGUCACUGUCGCCCAUCUUCCCCGUUAUCCAUUCUACCUGCCUUGACCCUAAGCCUGCCUGCCGUUCUGUACCUUUUGACUCUGAUCUGGAUUGCUGACCUCUGCCUGCCCUGAGCCUGCCUGCCGUUCUGUACCUUUUGACUCUGAUCU